RNAcentral lists this long non-coding RNA (17672 nucleotides) under Lynx pardinus (Iberian lynx). The record is from RNAcentral. Lineage: Eukaryota; Metazoa; Chordata; Mammalia; Carnivora; Felidae.
AUUUAGAUAUCAGGGAAGAGCAAGAAGUAAAAAGCAAGAAGUAAAUACCACCUGAGUCAUGUCUGAAAAGAGUGAUAAGUCCACACAACUUUUUAAAAGAACACAAUCUGUUAGGUAAGAAUGAAAUCAAUGCACAAAACUGCAAUAAAAUACAAAUCUCCAGAUGUAGUUUAUGAGGUGACAGGGUUUUAAGUAUGAACACAUAUGCCCUGUGAAGUUCUAGGGUAAGAUAUUAAAAUUCACACUCUGACCUGAAGAAUUUUGUCCUUUUGCUUAUGGUCAUGAACAAUGGUGGGACUCCAACAGGGGAUUCUCCUUUCCCUCUGGAAAAUCCCUACUUCUUCCCUUUUAGAACUGAAAGAGACUAACUCCAAGUUAUGAGGCUACUGGGGAAUUUCAGCUAACUCCUGUGGGGAAAGAGAUGGAAAUAAGCAUUCCUCAACAAUCCCAUUGAUCAACCACAGGUUUCUCAUAAGCAUCUCUCAGAUUCCUAUAGGUCCCACUGAGGGAAGAAGUGGGUAAAGUGGAAUCACCACAUUUAGUCACAUUUACUAUACUGGCUGACACUAACUGUAACAACUAUUCAUUCCUCCUGAAUCCUGUUCCAAUCUGGCACAUGCUAGAUGGUAAGAAGCAACAGGAGGCCUUAAUGAUCACCAUGGCUUCUUGGCAGAAUACUUUAGCUUAGUACCAGUAUGGAACAGGUAUCUAUGAAAUCAGAUACCUGGAAACUUGGGUCUGUGCCACUACCAAAAUUAUUUCAGGUCAAACUUCUAUUAGUUACAUGGAAUCCUAUCUAUGUCACUUCUGGUUAAGCCAUACCUUCUUACCUCCAUAUUCACCUUAGUCACUACAGGCCAAGUUCAUUAGUCCUAGGGUCUCAUCUUCCCUCUGCCCCUUUCCUUCCAAAUGCUUCCAAUUCUGCUAUCAUUCCAUACCCUUCCACAGGGUCUUUGGAAUCCUCCAUUCUCCAAAACAACAAAUCAAAUCCAAAUUCUCUACAUCCUUAAAUCCUUAACCUCUCUCAGGGCCUGUGCCACAUGCUCUUUUUUUUAGCAGAAACCUAACUUUGAUGGAAAGUCAGUUCUUCUCAUAUUGACUUUUCAGGUAGGAGCUGUACAUUCUCCCAUAAGUCAACAUGAACAUCGCAGCCCUGGAGGCAAGGAUGGCAACCUCCUGGCUCCCUCCUGCCACUUCCUGUUUAUUGCACACUUAUUUUCAUUCAAGAAGUCUCUUCUCCUUUUAUGGUCACACUAUCUGGCUUUAUAUCCAUUUGCCUGAACCUGAUGCUCUCACCUUCUAAUCUUUAGACAAUACCCCAACAUUUAAUCAGAACAUUGCCAUCUGACCCACAGUCUUCAUCCUUAACUAUCCAACACCUUACUCUACAUCUGAGGUACUUAAACGACCUUCUCUGUUUUGAAGAUCUUUGCCUCCAUUCAACUUCUACAAUAUAAUUCCAAAGUCAUAUCAGGAUCUAGUCAACCUUUAAAAUUAACUAAUCUCCAGAAUCUAAAACUUUGACUACAAAGUACUAUCCUAACACUUUUGUCUCAUUAAAAAACAAAAGAAGAGAAGAGAAAAUGGAGGAAGGGAGGGUGAAAGAAUGGAAGAAAGAGGGAGAGAGGAAGAAAGAAAAUUCUGUUCACCAUCUUGAGCUGCUGCUACAUUUCCUUCUCCUUUCUUUCACAGCUGUUUCUCAAAAGAAUUAUCAACUUUCACUAGCUUCAGUCCCUCAUUUCACAUUCUUUCUUCAGCCUGCUGCUUCAGUCGCAAUUAUUGAAACUAUUCUCACUGAAGUUAACAUUGUUUUCCUGAUCACUUGAUACUACCUCAUUUUUGAAAUCCUUUGUUUGGGUUUCUUGACUCUUCCAAUUUUCUCACUUCUCUUGAGUAUAUCUUUAGUUCUCUAUGUAACUCUUAAAUAUUAGUGGCACUUAGAGGUCCAUCCAUACUUGCUCUCCUUUGUACACACAUCUUUUCUACAACAGCCUCUCCAUUGGCAUUAUUUUUCCCACAGUUGGUGUACAAUGACUGCUCAGCCCGUACACAUCAAUUCCACAACACUCUUCCAAGUUUCAAACAAGAUUUUCCUUUGCCCCACAAAUACUUCCACUUCAACAUGCUACAGAUAUAUCAAUAUCAACAUGCAAUUUCUCCAUUUAUUUAUGUAGUAGGUUAUACCACACAAGCAAGAAACAGGUGAGGCUGCUAGACUAAAUAUCACAGGACUUAAAGCUAUCUUUUCCAUUUCUGCGGCUGCUUAUUCAACAUUUAUCAUGUCUCAUCUGAAUUAUUGUAAUCACCAUCUAGAUCAUAGAGCAAAUACUCAUUCCAUCUUUAUAUUUUAUACCCAUACCUCUUUUCCUUCUGAUUAUUCAAAAUACAUAAUAUACAAUAUAAUUUUUUAAAACAUCUGAAAACAAACAAAUCUGAAAACAAAUAACUGAUAUCAUCUAAUAUAAAUUUUAAAAGAAGGGGGACAUCUGGAUAGCUCUGUCAGUUAAGUGUCUGGCUCUUGAUUUUGGCUCAGAUCAUGAUGUCAUGGUUUGUGGGAUAGAGUCCCAUGUCAGGCUCUGUGUUGACAGUGUGGAGACUUCUUGGUAUUCUCUGUCUCUCUCUCUCUCUUUCCCUCUGCCCCCUAUGAGAACAAUAAAAAAGGCAUUUCCAAAAUAAUGGUCAAGUCUAUAAGUGAGUAGGUGGUAUAUGCAGAAUGUCUUCCACUUUCCCCUUCCCAUCCCUUAUCCAUUCUUCUCUCUGUUCUUUGAGAAGAUCUUUGGCCAAAAGAGGGAGAGAGGAAAGCAAAAGAAGUUGAACUACUUUUCCAAUCCCUUCCUGUGUGAUGGUUAAUUUUAUGUGUCAACUUGGCUGGGCCACAGUGCCCAAAUAUGUGAUUAAACAUUAUCUGGAUAUUUCUGUGAGAUGAUUUUUAUUUUUAUUUAUUUAUUUAAUUAUUAUUUUUUUAAAUAUAAUUCAUUGUCAAGGUGGCUAACAUACAGCGUAUACAGUGUGCUCUUGGUUUUGGGGGUGGAUUCCUGUGACUCAUCACUUACAUACAAUACCCAGUGCUCUGUGAGAUGAUGUUUAGAUGAGAUUAACAUUUAAAUUGGCGAACUUUGAGUAAAGCAGAUUGCUCUCCAAAAUGUCAAUCAAUUGAAGGCCUUUACAGAACAAAAACACUGCCCUCCCCCAAAUAAAAGGUAGUUCUGUUGGUGGACAGCCUUCAGACUUGAAAUGCAACAGGCUUUUUCUGGGUCUCCAGCUUGCAGACCCAUCCUGCAGAAUUUGGACUUACUGGCCUCCACAAUCCUAUGAGCCAAUCCUUUAAAAUAAAUGUCUUUCUGUAUAUAUUUACAGAGAGCAAGAAAGAUAAAUAUGUCUGAGUAUAUAUACACCCUGACAAAUACACCCUGCUCCAGCACUGAGUGUUUGGAAAUAGCUGCGGCCCUGGUAAAAUGACCCCUUCUCCACUUGUCCAGCUCCCACUGGGUCAACCUAUUAUCUCUUUUGUUACUUGGCUAUAAGUGUAGUAAUUGUUCUCCCUGUUACUAGUGUCCAAUAUCUUACUAUCUUUUAUUUCUUAACACUGCCCACACUUUUGAAAGCAGUCCUUUCAUUAAAGCAGUGGUUCCCACCUCAGGCUGCAUCUUAAAAAUCAGCUUUGGGAAGCUUUGAAAAAUCCCAAUGGCCAGGCCACAAACCAGACCAACCAAAACAGAACCUCUGAGAGCAGGAUACAGGCAUCAGUAUUUUUUAAAGCUCCCCAAGCGUUUCCAAUGUAUAGCUAAGGUUAAGAACUAUUGCAUCAAUGUCUCUUUAUCUGAAUCAUUUGAGAUGAAUUUAGCUUCCAGCCACAGCACCAACCAGUAUGCUGUCAUCAUCUAAUAUCCCCUUCAAUGAAUUCCUCUCAAAGCUUAAAGAAAAAAAAUGUUUCUUAAAAUCCUAUGAGCAUUUAUUACUUGUAUUUUUCAUAUAAUUAUUUCCUAUGCUGUCAAGAAUUAUUUCAUUUUUAAGACUAUUUCUCUCAAAAUGUGCCAGUUCAUUCAUUUGUGCCUACUCAAAAACUUGUCUCCCAGCUACCAUUGUCACCCUUUUUAACCUCAACUUCUGGCAGAAUAAUCUUUCAAAAAUGUGCCUGAUCAUGUUGUCUCAUGAUGCAAGUUUAAAAUUGCAAUCAGUCAAAGUCUAUGGCCUAUAAAAGUUGAAGCUUCUUGGUUAGGCAUUAAAACUCUUCACACUCAUCAGACUGGCGUUAAUUCUCAACAGUCUCCCCCGAUUCUUUGCCCUACCAUUCUACAUUCUACUUAUCACUUGCUGCUUCGGCUCCCCUUGUCCCUUUGUGCCUCCUCUUUGUAUUAAUUGGGAUCAUUUCUCCUGCCUGUAAUCUCCUUCUGUUCUUCAGCAACCUGACCUUUCAGUCCGUCAACACUCAACUCAGAUGUUACCUCCCCAAUGAAGAUAACUCCAGCCCCUCUAUAAUGCUUAAUAAUGAGUAGCUAUUAUUAACUAACUCUCUUGAGGCUUGGAGAGAUUUCCCAAAAGAAGGGAAUUGUACACUGGGACUGGGAAAAAAAAAAGAGCAAAGAAGCAAGUGACAGGGAGACGGGGAAAAAGGUUCAGAUGGCUUACACAAAACCCAAAGAUGUGAUAGCAUCCAAAGCACACGUGAUGAACUGCAAAUAUGUCUGUACGGAUAAACAAAGGAGACUGAUGCACAAUAAACCUUGUAAGGAGGUUUUUUAAUGUUUAUUUAUUUAUUUUGAGAGAGAGAGAGAGAGAGAGAGAGAGAGAGAAAGAGUAGGGGAUGGGCAGAGAGACAGGGAGACAGAGAAUCCCAAGCAGGCUUCGUGCUGUCAGUGCAGAGCACUGAGCAGGGCUUAAUCCCACAAACCAUGAGAUUAUGACCUAACCUGAAAUCAAGAGUCAGACACUUAACCAACUGAGCCACCCAGGUGCUCUAAGGAGUUUUUGUUAUAAUCUUAAUAGCAAAGGAGUGUAUAACUUUACACACAUCAUUCACAAAGUCACAGAGAAUAAAUUAGAGAACAGAAAUAUUUGAGACAGAGAGGCCACCAGGAGACUGUAACAGAAACCCAGAAGUUCCUCACUGAAGCUAGGUCAGUGGCAGUGAAAAAGAAAGAACAUGCCAUUUUCUGCAUUAUCUUUAUGUAUAAAAAUUGUGUGGCUUUUGCCAAACAGGUCUGUUAAAAUUCAGAAAAAGAAUUCAACACUUCACACAUUCUUUUGACUGAUUUAAAUAUUAUAUGAAAAUGUACAUUCCUUUGGGGCACCUGGGUGGCUCAGUUGGUUAAGCGUCUGACUUCGGCUCAGGUCAUGAUCUCACAGUUCAUGAGUUCGAGCCCCGUGUCGGGCUCUGUGCUGAUAACUCAGAGCCUGAAACCUGCUUCAGGUUCUGUCUCCCUCUCUCUCUGCCCCUCCCCCGCUUACAUUCUGUCUCUCACUCUCUCAAAAAUAAAUAAACAUUAAAAAAUAUUUUAGAAAAUGUACAUUCCUUUAAAAAUUUAAAGAGUCCAGUAUCUUUAAUGACAUGUAUAUAAACAAAUCAACUACAAUUGGCUAUGACAUUGAAUGUUAAUCAUUCUUUUCAUCCGAAAGUCACCCUUUGCAACAACUUUUUCUCUUUCCACUACUAUUUUUUUUUUCUUUCCAUUUGAUAGCUUUUUUGGUCAUUUGAAUAUGUCUGUCUUUACAGGUAUAUAUGUAGGUCUUAAAAAAUGUUUUGUCAGUGUAUAGAAGACUUUUCAUGAAUAAAGCAAAAAAAUAAACAUUAUUAAAAUGUUGGUAACAGGAACAAAUAUGGGAAGUCCAUUACUAGGUCUGUUUGUUGUCAUGUAGGAGAAUAUAAUUUCAAUGAAUAGUGUAACUUAGAGUUCGAACUCUAUCAGAGAAUUUUGCUUUAUAUCUGGAAAAUACAUUUAUUACCAAAAAAACUAAGAACUUCACAUUUCUAGUUCAAAAUAAUUUGAGUGAUGAUAUUACAUCAUAGAAUGUCAUACAUGCAGUAACAUAAACCAUAAUAUUCUAUGUAUUCAUUGCUGAAAUGUCAUGUGUUCACAUAUAAAGCAAACAUCACCAGAGAUUCUCACACAGACACCCAAAUGACUCUCAUUCACACCAUUAGUUUGAAUUCAAUGCUUCAAAUUCUCCAUGUAACAGUUAUUACUGUCCUGUAAAUUUCUUAGGGUCUACAUUUUUUACUUUUCUGGUAUCUGCAAAAACCCACUCACAGCAAGCAUUUUGUGAGUCUAGUAACUUCAGGGUUCAUGAGAAAAGUAAUGUUAUUCAUAGAAAAGCUUUAUUCCAUCUCCUAUUGCCUCUGUUUUGUUCCUAUUCUUAUCCCUCCUAUCUCUUAAUUCUGUCCUCUGCUCCAUUGUAUAGAAUCUUAUCUUUAUAUCACACACAUGAUUCAUGAACCUUUAGUAAGGCCAACAUCAUACCUACAAAAACUUACCUCAUCCAAGAAUUUACCAAGAGCUUUGCAAAUAAAUUGUGUUCUCCAUCUACUAAGCAGUUAAAAAUUGCUCCGUCUUAUCAUGUGUAUAAUACAUUGUGAAUGCAGAAGACAUCUUGCCUAAUGGGGUCUGAUAUUUUACCCAGAUCAUAAUCUGUUUAGUAUUUGCCAUUAUCCAGCAUUUUCUCUUACUACCUACCACUCAUCUUAGAUUUUAUUACAUUAUCUUCAAUCAAGAAAUGGAUGACAUGGAGGAGAAAAUAUUUUCUGUUUCUUCCACGGAAGGAAAGGGGGAUGAAAUAGAGAGUUUGGGGUAAAAAAAAAAACCCAACUAUACACUAGGUGACAUCUGAGGCAUUUUAUAAAUAUUACCACAUUCAAUAAACUUCUUAAUUGAAUCUUCACAAUAAAUAAAGAAGGUAUUAUAAUUCCUCUUUGUUCAGAUGGGAAUCCUAAGGCUGAGUAACUUUCUCAAGGUCUCAAUAGCUAGUAAGUAGAAUGGGUGAAGUCCACAUUUAUUCUGCUAAAAUGCUGAAUUACAGAUUGGAAUAGAUGUGUAAGUUUUCUUUAACAUCCUUUUUGUUAUAGCUCUAUCACUCUUCCACUGAAAUUCUUAUCCUAUGGACCAAAAGUGACCAAAAAUUACACAAAGAAGAUGGGCCUUAGGAAAAAUUUAGGUUCAUUACAGUCCCAUGGAAGAGAAUUUCAGUAACUCAAGGUGUGGGAUAUCAACUGUUUCUACUAGAGAUAGUAACAGGAGAAAGAGUUAAAUUUUUACCUACUAAAUCAGUCAUUCCUUCAUUGCUUUAUCUGAAUAAGCUCCUCACCUGAUUUCAAAGUCAAGUUGAAAUUUGAAACUGAACUUGGAUCCUGUACUCUAACAAAUGUCUGAGACCUUAACAUAUUUUCCCAGAUUUUUACCACUCACAGUCAUGCCCCAGACAGAGGAAAUGACUCAUCUUUUUUAAAAACUGGAAGUGUAAAAGUUAACAUAAAAUAUGCCAAGACAAAUUUUUAAAAAUAUAUGUUAUAGGAAGUAAGUAUUUGUGUUUUUAUAAGUCUAAUCCAUUUGCAUACCUUUGGUUCUUGGGUAUCUAUGUAAAAUUCAGUCAAAGGAAACCCAUAAUUGAAAACUGGAAUAAUAGAAGAAAUGGGUCCCUAUUCUUGAGUUUAAUUAUAUUUAAUUAUACCUAUAAGUUUCAUAUGAAAUUUUAAAAUUGGACUUAUUUAAAAACAUGCAUGUAUUACUAUACCUCCAAAUGUAACAAAAUUUCCAAAAAUGUUGAAAAAUCAUGAGAAACCAUGAAGUACUUUAUUUGACUACAAAUAAUGCAUGAUGAAUUGAAAAUAUGAUGGUGCUAAUUUUUGACUUAAAGACAAGUUUAUUUAAGACUCAGUUUGAAAAGUCCGUUGAUGGGGCGCCUGGGUGGCGCAGUGGGUUAAGCGUCCGACUUCAGCCAGGUCACGAUCUCGCGGUCCGUGAGUUCGAGCCCCGCGUCGGGCUCUGGGCUGUAUGGCUCAGAGCCUGGAGCCUGUUUCCGAUUCUGUGUCUCCCUCUCUCUCUGCCCCUCCCCCAUUCAUGCUCUGUCUCUCUCUGUCCCAAAAAUAAAUAAACGUUGAAAAAAAAAAUUAAAAAAAAAAAAAGAAAAGAAAAGUCCGUUGAUUAAAAGGCAGACUGUCUUCACAAUGGACAUUCAGCAGGCACAAUUCAUCAAGGAUGUGUACCUAGCACAUGGUAUAUAUUUUUGAUAUGAUAAAGCACAGCAUCUCAGAAGAUAAAGAGAACAGCUUGAGAUGCAUGCCUCAAAGAGAAACUCAAAAGGAAAAGAAAUCCAUUUCAAAAGGAAGAAACAAAAAUUUGACAUCUUGCUCCAAAAGAGAGAUUUUGCUUUAAACUACUCCAAAAAAAAAAAAAAAAAAAAGGAAAAUAGCUGCCUGAUAUCUGAAGGUGAAGAAAACUUUGUCAUCCUUGACCUUGGAAACCUUAAAGCACAAUACACAUAUAUCACAAAGUCCCAAUUCUAAGCCCCCAUUCAAGAGGGAGGGAUCACCCUGUGAAGGAGAUGGUACAUAUAUAAGACAACCUUUUACUGGAGGGGUGUUUGUACCAGCAUCUGAGACACAGGGGUCCAAAGUUCGGCUAGAUAGAAUAUUCCAGAAGUGCUCAGAGGUGAAAGCAGUUAUAUAAAGAAAGACCAAAGAAAAUCCUGAUGUUACGGCUAAGACCAAAGUAUAGUAGGAACCAAAGGCAUAACCUAGAAUUAAUGCCUGGCAGAACAAAGAGUAACCUAAGCACACUGUAGAUGAAGCAAAGCAGUGAGAAGGCAAGCUUUGCAAAUGAGGUUGUUUUUAUGGCUUGCUUUUAUUGGCUGUACAGUAGAGAAUGUGAAGGUGUGUUGGGUACGACCUCAAAGUAAAGGGAUAUUGGAAGACAAUAGGUCUAAAUAAACUUUGCUGGGCAUUCAAUAAUAACAGACAAGGCACUUAGUCUUGGUUUUUAUUUUCCUUUGCUUUGCUCUGGCUAUUUUCCUGUAACUCCUAUUUUGGUUAAUAACACCCCACUCCCCUCUUUGAGCAACCAAAAAGCAAGGGAAUCAUCUUGAUUCUUCUUACUGCUACUAUACUUAUGAUUUGUCUUUAAAUAGACUCAGCAUUCAUUUAACUUAAAUGUAUUUAAAAGGAAAUCACAUUAUUAAUUAAAAACCGCUAGUUACUAAAAGUUACUAAAACCAUUGGUUUCUAAAAAAGAAAUAUAUUUUUGAAAAUUCGAUGAAAAAUUUUAAAUGUCAUUGAAUUUUAUCAGAAAUCUACUCCUUCUUUGUUAAAAAGGACUGGUUAGCAAAUACCAUUUAACACACAGAUUGGUAUGAAUGUAAGACUUUCUCCUUAAAUUAGAGAGAUUAAAAUAUAAUUGAAAAUAAAAGUAUUUUUUGUGUGAUUUAAUUAUGAUUUAUGCUGCAUCCUUGUACCAACAAAAUGUCAUCUAUAGGCAAAUCCCACACUUUGGGAAGCAAUGAACUAUGGGAUAAAAUCCAAACUCAAUAGCCUGGUAUGAUCUCACUCCUGAAUACCUUUCAAGCUCAUUUCCUGCCACUGCACAAGCUACAUAUCCUGACUAUAUUUGGCUUCAUUAACUUCCCCAUUGUAUCUGCUUGAAAUACUCUUACGCCUCCUUCAAGAGUUUCAAUUGUGAACUCUUGAGAGACUUCCCAGGUCCAUUUCUCCUUAGCACUGACAAGGAUUCUUCCUUGACCAAACUCUAGUGGGUUCUUCUAAGUCCUCUUCUUAGCUAUGCUUCCACCUAUGAAGACUUAAAUAAGCACUAAUAUAGUUUCUAACAGCUCAAGGCUGCAUCUCUAGGAUAACCCUAGCCCCCUUAAAGUCUGCGUAAGAAAACUCGUGGCAGCCAAAAGAAUUCACUGUUUGUUCCAGUCAACUUGAAAACAUAGGGCUCCUGUCUCCCAGUCUCUUUGGGAGAGAAGGAGUCUAACUUUGAUAAGUGCCAGUUAGCAAACUCAGAUGGAUUUUACAUGGACUAAAUCCUUCCUUCCCACUUUUUGUAAUUUUUACUUCCCUGAAAAACUGUAUUGAGCCCUUGCUUGCUUUCUCUACUGCCCCAUUCUCUCUUUAAACACCCAUCACCCAUGUGGAAAUCAAAGUUGAAUUCCACUCAUGCUGGACUCAUUUCCCUAUUGCAAUAGUUAUUACUGAUUAAAAUCCAUCUCCACCCCUUUAACUAGUGUCUGCCUUUAUUUUUGACAGCACUUCGUAUCUGCCUCUAAUUCUCUAUGUUAUUAGUACUGAACUAUCCCUCUUUCUUACUAUGUUGUACUCAUGUGUGUACUCCAAGUGCCCAAAUCAGUACUGUACAGCAUCUCCCACAUUAGACAUGGCAAACCUUUUUUUACACAAGGUUAGUCAAGUAAAAUGGUUAAACAACGUUUUGUCAGAUUUUUGCAUUGUAUGUGUAUUACAUAUGAAACAACUAAAUGAUAUCUUGUCACAUAGAUACUCAACCACCACUGUGGUGGUAAUUUCGUGAGAGCAAUCUUUAGACUUAAAUAAUUGUGUAUACAGAACAAGGGAACCAAGUUAUCCAACUAGUGUGAACAGGGCCACGUGGAGAUAUAAUAUAUUGCUUUAGUUUUUGUUCCAACUUAUAAACCAUAAGAGGGACAUCAACACUGCAUUCAGUUUAGUUUAAAAAUAGUUUAGGGCCCCUGGGUGGCUCACUUGGUAAGUGUAAAACUCUUGAUUGCAGCUCAGGGUCAUGGGAUCAAGCCCCGAGUUGCGCUCCAUGCUAAGGGUGGAGCUUGCUUGGGAUUCUUUCUCUCCCUCCCUCUCAGCCCCUCCCCCGCUCAUGCUCUUUAUCUUUCUCUCUCUCAAAAUAAAUAAAUAAACAUUUAAAAAUAAUUUAAAAAUAUUUUUCAGCUUAUUUUCCUUCUUUCUCAGCUUUGUCAGUAUCAUUUUGUAUUCCAUUAUUUUCUAUAACCUCCCAUCUUUCUCUUUUGGAUGUCUGAAAGGGCGGACCUACGCCGGCCGACUCCAUCUUGUUCUGUGUCCUCCACCUUGACCACGCCUCCUCCCCUUGAGUAACCUCCCGCUCACCCAUUCAAACUUCCCGAUCAAAACACGCCGGCGACCUGCGUAACAGGACUCCAACCCUUCCCCAGCCAAUUGGCUGAGGCCACAGCCAUUACCUCACCAACUGGCCCUAGACCCCAAUAAAACAUUUGUGCUUUUGAAACUCGCUCUCUCUCCCUGGCAUCUCACUGCUGCGUCGGUGCAGGUAGGGGACUGAGCUCCAGCUAGCUCGAAUAAAGGCUCUUUGCUUUUGCAUCGGACUCGGCUCCCUGGUGGUCUUUGGGGAUCAUGAAUUCUGGGCAUAACAUGUCCACUUCCUCUUAAAAUAUCAAUUGCCUAUUAUCACUCCUAUCUUUUGUUUUAUAUUAGUAAUAGCACUUCUAUAGCUAUAGCACUGGGGAUUUACAUGCAAGCUACAGAAGACACUAGGCUUUUACUUCAAAAUUAGUUUUGUUUUAUUUGCUUCUUACAGGUGAAAAUGCUACUUUACAUAGAAGCCUAUUUUAUUUCAUAAAAUUAAAUGAACCAAAACCCCAAAGUGCAAUGAGACAUACACAUCAUGACCACACUAUUUCAGAAAGCUGAAGGGUUGCCAGUCCAUUGAUCUCAGACUUCAUGAACCACAGUGCAGCUCAAAUUGGUUCUCUGCAGAAGCUUUGAGUUUCUGCCAAAACAGCCAGUGCAGAACUCUGAAAACCACAAGGUACAGAGAUGGCAUCUAGGCACAUUUUUAAAACUGUUAACUCUUUCAUUGAAGUUUACUUUGUUACUUUACUAAAGGGGCUGGUGUCACACCAGACAUUUUUCUUGCUUAAAGGCAAUAUGCAGUAAUUGUUAGGAUAACAUAUUACUGAAAACAUGAAACUAAAUGUGGGGCCUGUGUGAGCUUCCUUCUUUUGCCAAUGGAUUACAAAUGCUUUUUCCUGUAUACAAUAGUACUAACAUUAAACAAUAAAUAUAGAAUUCCUAUUGUGGGUUGAUUUGGGGCAUAUCAAGUCUCUUUUUUUGUUUCCAAUUGCUACCUGUAGCAGCAGCAUCCAGUAGCCUAAAACCAUUCAGUCAAUGCCCCACCCAGCCUCAGAGUCAAUCCUAAUGUAACCAGGCAAUAUAUUAAGAGCUCCAUCCACAAUCAUUAAAUGGAACCUGAAAUUAACGGCACAUUCCUGGGUCCAGAAUCCAGAACGAAGUGUCCUAUGCAUUCAUACACACAGUCAACUGCAGCCCCUCUCCCAUCCAACAAUUCUGUUGCCCAGUCUUCACUGCUGGAUGUCUGUCCUUAAAGACAUCAUCCACUCCUGGGUUGUAACUGAUAUCCUAAGCUAAACUACCACUGGUUUAACAGGGGCUCUGCCCCCUCACUAAAAUCUGGGCUGACACCUCUCACCCUGUUCCUAGAACUGGUUGGAGCUUUGCUUCUAACUGAAUGAGCUCUUUCCUUCCCUUAUCUGGAGUGAAAACACUAGCACUGCCAGAAAUGCCUUUUGCCAUAUCCUCCCCUAACUUGAUUCCAACUCCUUGUAAAUCAUUCCUGGCUCAGGAGCUCACACCCCUUACUCUUGAUAAUGUGACUGGAAAUGCUGGUCACUCACUUACUUUAGAACCUUGGUCCCAGCUCUGUUUUUCUUGCUUCCUUCUUUUUUCUUAACCUGAGGCCCAGAACAUCUCAUAGUAGGUGUAUUACAUGGAAUAAGACAAUGUCAGUGUGUAAAAAGUACUUAUUAUAUAAAGGAUAUCUUGAAGACAUCUUUUUUAUUCAAUGCAAAUAACCACCACAAUCAUUCUUUUUGGUGGUUUCUAAUUUUUUUUUAAUGAAAAAUAAACCUUUACAUUUUCCUAACGAGAAAAUAGUAUAGUUUCCUUAUAUUCCAAAAUCUGAUAAAACACGGGAUCAAGUUAUUCUUUUCGAGAUGCUGUUAAUGUUAGGUGUUGGAGAGCCCAACUAGUACCUGCAUUAAGUAGUUAACUUUGUGUUUGAGCUUGAUUCUUUCUAUAAAGUUUUCCGUACUAUCUACAUUUUGUGCUACCCAGUUUCCAUGGCAACAUGUUUGUUCCCAUGGAGAAACAAAAGUGAACACCUUAACAGAGUUGAAGAUAUAAAACCUCACUCAGUGGAUAGUUUGCUCAGAGGUUAUUCCAGAACAAAACAAAAAGAUGGAAAAGCAGAAAAUAUAUCCAGGUUUCAAAUUCCAGCUCAAAACUAAGAAAAUACUUCUGAUUUUUUUUGACCUGCCAAGUAACAAAUCAUUUUGGUGUCCUUAACAGCAACUUCUUUUUUUAAUAUAAUUUAUUGUCAAGUUAGCUAACAUACAUUGCAUACAUUGUGCUCUUGGUUUUGGGGGUAGUGUCCCGUGAUUCAUCACUUACAUACAACACUUAGAGCUCAUCCCAACAAAUGCCCUCAAGGCCCAUCACCCAUUUUUCUCCUCUCCUCCACCCCCUCCAUCAACCUUCAGUUUGUUCUCUGUAUUUGAGUCUCUUAGAGGUUUGUCUCCUUCUCUGUUUGAAACUAUUUUUUCCCCUUCCCUUCCCCCAUGGUCUUCUGUUAAGUUUCUCAAGUUCCACAUAUGAGUGAAAACAUAUAAUACCUGUCUUUCUCUGACUGACUUACUUCACUUAGCAUAAUACCCACCAGUUCCAUCCAUUUUAUUGCAAAUGGCAGGAUUUCAUUCUUUCUCAUUGCCAAGUAGUAUUCCAUUAUGUGUAUGGCUUAAUAGCAACUUUAAACUGAUUGUGUUUUCCCCAAAAGCAAUUUGUAAAACUCACUACUUAGACAAAGAGCCUUUUUAAUGGUGAUUUGAUGGUUUGUUUUAUUUUAGCAAUUUGGUUCUCAUAGUAGCAAUUUGCAUUUACAUAUUUCAAGAAUUUUUGAAUUUUCAUGAAACUCCCUAAAUUUAAACCAACCUGAUUGAAACAAAACAAAACAAAACAAAACAAAACAACUGUACACUAAGGCAAUGACAUUCUGAGCAAAUGAUUACAAGGUUACUUUUUAAUAAAAACAAAUUCUUUUUGUUUUUUUCUUUAAUGUCCGUAACUUUCCUAGUGUAUCUUUUUGUCUGUAUAUGUCAUUUCAGUAGAGCCCGCAGACUGCAAAUGGGUGGGAAUUUGGCUGCUUUGAUUGAAUAUGAAGGGAAGUUGGUAGCCUUAGUUAGGCUGCUACUAUUAUGCCAAAUUCCUAACACCAUUACAGCAGGACUUUGGAUGAUACUAGUAAAAUAAUUCACACCCAUUUGCAAGCUCCAUUCAAGUGGCAUAAACUUUACUUGUAAAAGACAAAGCAAAAUCACUUGGCUCCAGUGGCUCUUUGCUGUGUCACCUCCCUGUCUCCUGCCUGCCUACUUUCCCUCCCACUUAUAAUCCAGACACUGCUCCCUUUCCAUUUCUAUCCCACAUGUCUUUGUCUGCUGUUCCCCCUUUGUGCUUUUUUUUUUUUUUUUAAUCUUUAAGCCUUGACCUCCUUUUCCCCUCUGUUCUGCUAUUUCUACCCUACAAUGUCAUCACUUUUUCUGGCUUCACUCUUGUUUCUUAUACCGUGCCCUCUUCAAUCUUUAACUUUUUGGGGGGGUGGUAUUAUCCUUAUUUGCAGUCUUCUCUCCUGCUUUUAGUUUACUUUUCAUUCUUGACACCUUUUCUUACUCUUUGUACCCCCUCUUCUAGAAGUUUGCACAAGUUGCUCUUUUAAAAUUUUUAGGGAUUGUACCCUGGCGAUUUUUUUUCUCCCCUUCCAUGUAUUUUUUUUUUUUUUUCCUGAUUACUUGAAUCCCAGUCCCACGGACUUUGUGCAAAAUAUUACAACUGAAACAAUUAGAAUAUUUCUUUCAUAUAAUAAAAGUUAGAAGACAAUCCUUAGAAAUUAGCAUCUUAAACAGUAGACUGCUUUUGUUUUUUCUCUUUGUCCCCUCUGUAAGUUCACAGUGAAUAGAAUCAAUGAGAUUUGUCAUCUACUAGAUUUGUCUAGAUCAGGCAUUAUUCACUUGAAUCAAGUAGGAAAGAGCAGGACUCUGAAAUCAGCUAGUCCAGCAUGCUGAACUGUUGCCACUCAAGAUAAAAUAACCUUUGUACAUUAUGUGGUCGACUGACCAGGAGCAGAAAAAAGACGUGACUCAGGAUUAAUUAUAGUUUUUAUGGCGAUAGUUAUAAGAAACAAGAACCAAAGGUUUUUCUCCUACUUAUUUUCAUAUGGUAUUGGGGUAAAUGCACUUGGGCACUUCCAUCAUUUUAUACUGUUUAUUCCAUAUGGCAGAUAAAAUAACAAAAAUUUCUUGAUAUAGAGAUUUCUUCUGCUUCCCUAUCAUCAAAUGAGCAUACAGUUUGAGUUGUUUUUUUGUUUGUUUUGGGAAUUGGAUGUUCAUCUUUCUUUUAUAGACUUUCACCUAAUUUCCAAAAGUAUGCAAUAGUGUAUUGCAUGUAAAGAUAAAUGGUCCAUUCAGGUUUAAAUGCAUUGUUUUAAACUAAGGAGAUAUAUAUCUUAAUAUUUGAAUUAUUCAUGACCAUAUAGUUACAUAAAUUAUAUGAGAUAUACAUAUAUAACUAAAUCCAUUAGCAUAGUGGCAGAUUCUUUAUUUAUGCUUUCACAAACUUGUAAUUAAAAAUUAUAUAAAAAUUUUAUUACAGAGGAAUUUUCCACAUCUUCUUUUCUUCACUAUUGACAUAAUUAUAGCACCAACACAUAGUCAUGUAUGUUGAGCAUUGCACAAUGUUAGGGGGCCAUUCUUGACCUACAUGUGGGGCCCUAUAUACAGUGGAUUCAUUUUGCAAUUCUCACUGAAACUAUACUGUGCUUUUACUUGUUAGAUGAACAAAAUUUUCUAUAUCGAUAAUGUUGAAUUAUAUUUGGUUUUACUCUCUAAAAAUCCUGAAAAAAAAGGUAACAUUUUAUAGCUAAGAGGAAAUGUACAGACCAUCCACUUUUUCUCUUUCAUGUUCUAAAGAAGAAAAAUGUUUCCAGAGAAGUGAUGUAUCCUGACUAUAAUUUUAUCGCCAUAUAUACCAUCAGAAUCAUGUUAGAGCCAGCUCUCCUAAUUCCUAUCCUCAGGAAUAUCAUUUUGAAUAUUCAUGGUGACAAGGAGAAUAUAUGUUUACCACAUUAAUCUCAUAGGUCCAACUUUCUAGAUUUUUAGCCUAACUUUACUCAUAGACAAUUUUACAUUGUAAACUGCUAGAGGAAUGAAGUUUGCUACGUAAUCAAACAACAUACGAAAUGUUUUUUUGAGAGGGGAUGUUACCUUGCCAUUGACUAACAUAGUGGAGAAUAUUUAGAAUAGGAACAAUUCAAUGCUACUGUUACAUCUAUAUUACUACACUACAGUUUUGGAAUAUGAACAUUCAGUAAUUGAAAUAGAGUUUCUUCGGGAUUAAAAUGAUUCCCUUCCCAAUAAUGCACUGGGAAAUCACCAAUUUACUUAUCUUCUCUAUAGAGCUUUUCUUUAUUAAUAUCAACCCACACUUUUCCUUCUCUUUUUUUUUUAUUGCUCAACAGUAACGUGUGGUUUUUGCUAUAGUAUUUUAAUUUGUUUCUGUACUCUAAUUGCAUCUUGAAACCUGUCAACUCCAUGUGUUCUAAGUUUGUCUUUUACUUGUUUUCCCUCCUCCAUGAUCUUGAGUGUGCAUAUAUUGAUGUUAAAUGUGCUAUUUAAGGGGACAAGAAUUGAACUAGAGAUAUGUCAUCACAUAAGUCCUAAUUAAUUGGAAACAAAUAUCCAAAUUUAGUCUAUCUUGCCAAAAGUGUUGUCAACGUGUACAGCAUGAAUCUAAAUGUUAACAGAUGAAUCAUUAAUAAUAACUUUAAGCGAAAAUUACUACCAAGAAAUUUCUAAUAAUGAUGCUUAAAUUUGUUUCCUCUGGUAGAUUAAAGCAUAUUGAUAAAAAGAACAAACAGAGAGGAAAACCUAGUGCAUACCAUCAAAAAAUCAUAACACUUUAAAAUUAUUUUUAUUUCCCCCUUUUUUCCCUAGAAUUUAAAGAGGUAUACGAUGGAUUUGAUCAUCAACUUUCAUUUGAGAGAGUAAUGCAAGAGAAAAAGAACACAGUACUCCAAGAAACCAUAGCUUCUGGCAGAUGUUGCAAGAAUGAGUUAGAUCAUUGACCUUUUUUUCUGGGGCAUUGUGUCAAUUUUGAGUGGAGUUUCCAAUUGCACAAUAGCAUCUGGACAGUUUUGACAUCUUUAUUACACUCUGUGAGUUCUUAAAAUGCUACCAUUUUGUUUUAAAGAUGAUUUGUUUCAAAAUUAAAAUAAUUAUUUAACUGCCAAGAGUAAUUAAUCCCAUGACUGAAUUCCAAUAAAAUUCUCUUCCCAGAUCUGGCUUCCUAACGAAUAUUCAUAAUCAGAAUACCCAUUGUUUAAUCAAAAUCAGGAUUUGAUUAAUGAUAUUAACACUCAAAUCCAUUUCUUUGAAGACCUAAUUUUGUUUCUUGUAUUUGCUUUGCACUCAAUUACUGUGGUUUAAAUAGUCUGUUUAACAUGACCACUUUCAAACAAGAUCAUAAAUUCUCAUAAAAGCAGCCUAAGGAAUUCAUAAUCAUAGCUCUUGGCCGCCACCUAAAGGUUUCUUUUUUAUUUUAUUUUACAUAAGACCUACUGUGCAUUCCUUUAAUAAUAAAAUUGUUGCCUAUAUCA